AUUCACUUACCGCGAGGAAUAGGAUGAAAUAAUGGUACAAACACAAAUGAAUUAAGCCCUGCAGAGCAGCGUCAACUGAAGACGUCAUGAUUUUGACAUGCACAAUGAGGGGAAGAGGGGGAAUUGAAUUUACCGUAACACCGGCACAGCCUGCCUUAGUUUCGUGUAGCUUAGUGACAUCAAUUUGUUGCACAGUAGCUUUAGCUCGCAUGUAGCAAUAUUAGUACUAUAGCUCUUUACGACCUCGUAAUUCGGAGGAUCCAGUGGUAUUUGGGAGAAAAAUGUACACAGGACAAAACGUAUCAGGUUCUGAACCUUUCUAUUUAACAUGGUGCAAUAGAGGCGAUUUUUCGAAAACCCUAUUCAUUCUGGCCAUAGAGAAAUAGGGCUUAGACCCGGCGUUCCUAAUAUGGGCAUAACGAGGACUACAGAAUGACGCACGACUACAGUGGUCUAUGGACCAUUUUUUUUUACAGCAAUGGCAGAUCGUGGAGCCUCUCAAUAGUUCCUGGAUGUUAGCAGCAAAUACUAGCAGCAUAGAAGAGCUCCAGCAGAAUAGACCGUUCGUGAUGCACUUUUAAAGGCAAGACGGAAGCCUGCUGGAGCGUGCCUGAGCUUCUUUCUCCAAGACACUCACUGUGUUGGGGAGCUCCAUGAGGGAGGAAUCAGUCUUGGUCCUAAAGAGUUCCUCAAUUUGGUUAAUGAAGUCAUAUGUUCUUGGGAGAGAUGACAAAGAGCGCCUGCCUUGAACUCUUUUAAGUUCACUAAGAUGCUGUUUUCUCCAGCUGGACUGUCAUCAUUGUGCUGUGUUUCAAUUUUGCAUUUUUCACAGAUGCUGGCAAACUUGAUGACUUUGUGGACGAUGUUAGCCUGCAAGAUGGAAGAGAACACAUUUCUCUGUUUUUGUGAGGUCAGGUGCAGCACUGUUCACUGCCAUCAGCUGUUCCACUCUGACUGACAGAGUGAUCUUUUGCUCCACUGUAUCCAAGAAGUCUGCCAGAAAGCUGCUGUCAUCUUCCUGGUAGCUCCCAGACCUGAUGGUGGUGAGGAACUGCCCCACAGAUAUGAUUCACAGUGUAUGAUGGAAUUCCACUGGAGUUGGGACAGGAUUUUUAGACCUCAUACAGCUGAAUGUAUUUUCAAGGCAGUCUUGUGUGAACCUUGAUGUUAACACAAACCUGUGUCCUCGUGUCAGCAUCUCCUCCUGUAUGGCCAAAAUUGAUAUUUUUGCCAUUAUUAUUCCAGUCUGAACAGGCUUCCAGCCUCCCUUUUGACCAAUCUUUAUCCCAUGGAACAGAUGGACGAUGUCUUGGAGGAAGGUGAUGACCUUUUGGUACUCCUCCAUCUUGAGCCUGCUCAGGGCUGUAAAUUGGAUGGUGAGAUGACAUAAGAUCAAACCAAUGAUCAGCUUGCUCUAGGAGCCAUGCCGUAGUCAUGUAGGACAGAGGGUGGUUUUCUUGUUGCACCAUGUAUUUCAGCCCAGUACUUGUUGCUUUACUGAAUACUUUUAGAGCAGGACCAACCUUCAUCUUCUCAAAGUGACUUGGUUCGAUGGCUGCAGCUGAUAGAUGGGGAGCUAUUUUUAAUGCCAUCCCUUAAUUUAUUUUUAAUGCCAGUCCUUAAUAGGAACCACUGAAACCUCGUUAGAAAGGAGCUUCUUUUUGUUUACAAUGUCCUCAGGAAUUCUGAACACCUGUCCACGGACAAGGGCACUUUUUAGAUUUUUUUACCAGAUGUGGGACAUCAGGCAUGAAAUAGAGCUGCCUGUCUGGUGUCGUCGGAUGUGGUACUGAGGUUUUUUUGUGGUUGACUCCAAAGGAUUUCCACAUGGCCUGGUUAGGGCUACCCAUGUCGGUGGUGACAUUAAGCACAUAUAGCUCUGUGGAUGCUGUCCUCUGUAUUAUUUCAAUUAUUAUUGGCCUGUACUCUGCUCUAUUGGUAGAAUUGCCAUUGUAAUGAUAUGCCAAUACUUGCUUCCACCGUGUUGUGCUUCCCACCAACAUAAACACACAAGCAUGUGUUGCUACUCCUUACCAGGUCACAUCACCAUACAGUUUGCCAGUAAGCAUGUGCAACUCCACACUUGGUGUGAUGGCCAUUUCAUCCAAGGUCAACACACACUUGUUUUCAAGCUCUGUCAAUCCAUCUACCUUCAGUUUUAGGAAAUCAAAGACCUCUGUCAACACACCAGGAUCGAAUUUAACACACUGCAUCCUUCUUUGUGGGGCUCUUAUUCCUGGCAGGGGAAUCUGCAAUUCCUGCAGCGUCUUGUAACCUGUUGGACUGGCAGCAAAGCAAAUUUUUAGUGCCUUCUUAAUUGUGUCAUUGCUCCAUUUCAUCCAUUUUGUGUUUAGUCUGCUUAAUGCCUUAAUUUGGUCUUUUGAAAAAGUUUUCUUUAAUAUUUUUGUCCCUAAUUUUCAUUGCAUUCUUGAGAGUGGCAUUUUCCUUCCUUAGUUUUCUAAGUGCUGCCUUUGCUUUAUUUGGUGACUUUCUCUUGUCUCUUUAAUUUUUUUUCAAUAGUUCCAAUUGACUGGCUGCUGGCUUACUGGGUGGUAUUAUCUCUCCCUGUCUCUCCUCACUAGCCAUGUCUUCUCUUUCUUCACUAUCACUUUCCCUUUCCUCAGUCUCCUCACCCUUCUUUCCUCAAUCUUUGAAACUGAUGUAUGUAGAAGACAUGUCACUUUAAAUUUUAAAAUAUUCAAAAUAGUCACUACUUUAAAAUUAGAAAUAUUGUUAUCAUUAAGAGUUCAUAUACCUGUGUCACCCACUUGUAACACUAUAUCUGUGAUCAGCAGCUAUAGGCUCUAUAUUUACAGGUCCAGUGGUGCAUCGUGGUAUAGGAGCCCUCCUCUUUUUCACCAUGGGGCGAUGCACAAAGAUGGUGGGAAUAGCAUCUGCUCUCAGGCUAAUCUUGCCCUUUUGGGUCUUGUCAAAAGGUCUGCCUCAAAAUGAGCCUGCAGAAUUAUCACAAGAACCACAGGUGCAUUCAGUGGAGCCUAAAGACUGCCUGCAAUGAGACAGCACCCUCACCCUGUACCAAUUCCCAUUCCCUAGGUUUUGCAAUUCUUUCACUGUUGCUUAUUUUUAAUAAACCAAACAUUAAGUC
Molecule: long non-coding RNA, 3106 nt
Organism: Colossoma macropomum (tambaqui)
Lineage: Eukaryota; Metazoa; Chordata; Actinopteri; Characiformes; Serrasalmidae
Exons: 3
Source: RefSeq, a predicted model, not a curated record